UUUAAUUUAUAGUCAAUCUGGAUUAGAGGUGGCAGACCAUUGUUUGCGAGCCAAUUCGUGUUCGGCUCGAAAUGAGCUCAUGUUCGAAUUGAAUUGCUCGUUUACUAAACGAGUCAAAUACGAACUGUAUUUUUCAGCUCGUUUAAUAAACGAGCCGAACAGGAGCUAGGGUCAACUUGCUCGUGUUUAGCCCGUAUACAUAUAUUUUAUAUUUAUAUAUUUUAUAUAUUUUAUAUUUUUAUUUAUAAAUAAAUAAUUAUAUAUAUAAUAUAGAUUUUCAUUAAUAUUUAAUUGUUUAGCUCAACCUAAAUAUAAAGCCCAUCUCAAUUAUAAAAAAACUUCGGGUUAAUUUUAUUUGUACCCUCACAAAACUAUGAAACAUCAUAAAUACCCUUCAAAUUUUUAAAAUUUCACAAAUACUCUCUAAAUACAAUAUUUCUUUCAUAAAUACCCUUACCGUUACUAUUUUGCUAACUUCCGUUAACUCAACAUUUUUUUACUUUACUUUAAAAUAUAAAAUUACCAUUUUACCCUUUGUUCACUAUUUCUUUAGA
Molecule: long non-coding RNA, 554 nt
Filed under: Ananas comosus (pineapple)
Lineage: Eukaryota; Viridiplantae; Streptophyta; Magnoliopsida; Poales; Bromeliaceae
Description: long non-coding RNA (ACOM_LNC008434)
Source: RNAcentral